UACAGAGGGUGCAAGCGUUAAUCGGAGUUACUGGGCGUAAAGGGUGCGUAGGUGGUUGCUUAAGUUAGAUGUGAAAUCCCUGGGCUUAACCUAGGAACUGCAUCUAAUACUGAGUGACUAGAGUAUUGUAGAGGGUAGUGGAAUUUCCGGUGUAGCGGUGAAAUGCGUAGAGAUCGGAAGGAACACCAGUGGCGAAGGCGGCUACCUGGACAAAUACUGACACUGAGGCACGAGAGCGUGGGGAGCAAACAGG
This 253-nucleotide ribosomal RNA is filed under the name uncultured bacterium. RNAcentral's name for it is "partial 16S ribosomal RNA". It matches the Rfam family "Bacterial small subunit ribosomal RNA", at positions 524 to 776 of the family's 1533-position model. The record is from RNAcentral.